GUCCCACCGAGGAAGUUGAGCUUUGCGGACAGGGACAGUGCGUAUCCGUCGGGGAUGAAGGUGUAAUCGCCCUCAUCCUCGGGGCGCACGUCGUCGAUCACCAGCUUGUGGAACCUGGGGGCACCCCAAAAGGGUCAGGGGGCGACACCCCCACCGGGACCCCACCAUGUCCCCACCAGGUCCCCAUGGGGCUGCCACCACCCCCAGGUCCCCAUGGGGUCCCACCACGUCCCUAUGGGGCUCCACCAGGUUCCUAUAGACCCCAUGGAGCUCCAUGAGGUCCCCAUGGGGUCCCACCAAGUCCCCAUGGGGUCCCACCAUGUCCCUAUGGGGCUGCCACCAGAUCCCUAUGGACCCCAUAGAGCUCCAAGGUCCCCAUGGGGUUCCACCACGUCCCCAUGGGGCUUCAUGAUGUCCCCAUGGGGCUGCCACCACCCCCACGAUGUCCCCAUGGGGCUCCCCGAAAUUCCUAUGGACCCCACGAAACUCCACCAGGUCCCCAUGGGGUCCCACCAAGUCCCUAUGGGGUCCCUCCAGGUCCCCAUGGGGCUUCAUGAUGUCCCCAUGGGGCUGUCACCUCCCCAAGGUCCCCAUGGGGCUCCCCGAAAUUCC
RNAcentral lists this long non-coding RNA (612 nucleotides) under Anas platyrhynchos platyrhynchos (common mallard). RNAcentral's name for it is "lncRNA (ENSAPLG00000019623.1)". The record is from RNAcentral. Lineage: Eukaryota; Metazoa; Chordata; Aves; Anseriformes; Anatidae.